This 461-nucleotide ribosomal RNA is filed under the name uncultured Anoxybacillus sp. RNAcentral describes it as "bacterial SSU rRNA". It matches the Rfam family "Bacterial small subunit ribosomal RNA", at positions 923 to 1382 of the family's 1533-position model. Lineage: Bacteria; Bacillati; Bacillota; Bacilli; Caryophanales; Anoxybacillaceae. The record is from RNAcentral.
GCACAAGCGGUGGAGCAUGUGGUUUAAUUCGAAGCAACGCGAAGAACCUUACCAGGUCUUGACAUCCCCUGACAACCCGAGAGAUCGGGCGUUCCCCUUCGGGGGACAGGGUGACAGGUGGUGCAUGGUUGUCGUCAGCUCGUGUCGUGAGAUGUUGGGUUAAGUCCCGCAACGAGCGCAACCCUCGACCUUAGUUGCCAGCAUUCAGUUGGGCACUCUAAAGAGACUGCCGGUGUCAAACCGGAGGAAGGUGGGGAUGACGUCAAGUCCUCAUGGCCUUUAUGACCAGGGCUACACACGUACUACAAUGGCCGGUACAAAGGGCAGCGACACAGCGAUGUGAAGCCAAUCCCGAAAAGCCGGUCUCAGUCCGGAUUGGAGUCUGCAACUCGACUCCAUGAAGUUGGAAUCGCUAGUAAUCGCGGAUCAGCCACACCGCGGUGAAUACGUACUCGGGGCUU